Gadus morhua (Atlantic cod) is the source of this 274-nucleotide long non-coding RNA. RefSeq lists it as uncharacterized. NCBI's taxonomy places the organism in Eukaryota, Metazoa, Chordata, Actinopteri, Gadiformes, Gadidae. The transcript has 3 exons. The record is from RefSeq and is a predicted model, not a curated record.
GCUCAAGCGCAGUGUUGGCCUGCUGAGGGGGAACGACCUGCAUUUGGCAACGCUGAUCACGGACCGACAUCGCCAGGUUGCCAAAUGGGUGAGAGAGGAGCUGAUCCCUGAAGGGACACAGCAUUAUUUUGACGUGUGGCACAUUGCCAAAAGUCUGGGGAAGGCAUUGGAUGCAGCAUCCAAAGAGUGUGACCAACUACAGUUGUGGAGGCCAGCUAUAGUGAAUCACCUCUAUUGGACUGCAGCCUCAACCCCAGAUGGCAACCCAGCGGUC